GCCUCCUCCGGCUCGUCGCCGGCGGGUGUGUGGGGCAGCCCUCGCCGGGAGAGAGUGUCUGCCGCAGAGCGGCCGCGGUGAUCGGUGGCGCGGGUCCGCCCACGGGCGUCUCCUCUCUCUGCAGCGGGGCUGGGGCCGUGAAACCCUGGAGGAACGCGCCGGGCGCCUCGGUUCCCUGCCCUCGAGGGCUGCCCUGAACUUGGCUCGGUGGCUUGUCGGCAGCGAACGAGGCCGCAGCACUGGGCCUGGCACGCUGCUGGGGCGGAGGAUUCGGCUGCUUGCGGAUUCGGACUGUUCCUCGACGGCCCCAGCCUGUGGGGCGGCGGUGCCCGCUGCUCCUCAAGACCGGGCCUGCCCGGUGGCGGCGAGGCGGGGGGAACCCUGGCCGCUGCAGAAGUCCGAGGCUCCCGCAGGAGAAAGCAUCCAGUUAUUCAACAACGUUGUGAUUAUGGUAGAACGCCUGUUGUGGAUCCAGCCAUUCCGGAUAAUACCAUGUUUGUUUUCAUCACAGAACCUAUGAAAUCCAAAGCUGAUGGUGUACUCAUCUGUGGUUAUUUUGCAUUGCAAAAUGUGUGCUGAAAAUGAAUUCACAUACUGUUCUGUGGAUCCCUUUGUGUUUUUUUAGCUACCACUUACAGUUAUUAGCAGACAGAAGUUUAAUAAAAAGUUAAAAGUUUAAUAAGUUUUGUGGUGGUUGCUGGCUAGAUGCAGAUGUGGCAGUGAGAAUGAUGAGGCCUGUCACAGCCUCUGCUCUGUCAGAGCGCAUCCUAUGAACUGGUGCUAAUGGGGCAGCAGUUCCCUUGAUACAUCAUCCUCUAAUUAGCACAGUGGUUCAUUUUCCUCAGACCACAGCAAAAUUAGUGUGUUUGGAUGAUGUGACUGUGAUAUCAUAGGGCUGCAGAGUGACUAGUGCUGUUAGAGCAACAAAAAAAACCAAACCAGGAGUCACUAAUUUUUUUUAGCUUUAUUGAUACAUUAGGGCUACCAGAUCUCAGCUGUACUUCCCCAGGAGUCAGGAGGAGUUGGAAGGAGUAGACAAGAGGCAGUUACAUAGUGUCAUGUCGCUUCCCCUGCCUGACCCCAGCUGGGUGCACAGAGUAGAGCAAAAGGAAAGGAUGUAGCUUAAGAAGGUUCAGUUACUUCAUUGCAAAGAUGUAUUUUUAAAAAUACCACUUUGCCUCUACAUGAGUGUCUACAGAAAGGAUUUUUCCUUUGAAACUUUCUGCCACCUCUUUCUCCUUGUGAUUUUACCUGAUGGUACAAUCUAGCCCCACAAUAAUGGGGCUCCUUUGGGAGACUGAAGGUAAAAUGGAAAAUUUGCCUGGCAGGGUUCUCAAGCUGUUGUAAAACAUUACGGUUUAGAGAAACCACAUGAGAAGAGGGUGCAGUACCUUCAUGAGUACUUGAGUUCAGGCUGCAACUCUGGUGAGCUGUGGUCUCUGAGGAGGGCUGUUGGCAGGGCAGAGCAUGGCAUUUCUUCCAGGAGGACUGCAAAUUUAUCACUUUUCACUCUUGUCUGGGUGAGAACUGGCUCAGAUCAGGCACAGUGUAGAGCCGUCUGUGUGGCAAGGGUUUCAGAAAGGGUGAGAGUACAUUUCUCAUGGUGGCAUGGACAGGAGUCUUGGGAGACUCCUGUAUGUAGCUGGCUGUCUGGCUGCCUCCAGGGAAGGCAGCUUUAUUGCUGCUGGGAUGCUGUUACUAACAUGAUACCAGGACAGCAAGUUGUCUCAGUUAAUCCUAUUUCAUAGUAUUUUUCUGUAAAUAUCAGUAGCCAAAUUACAAAAAAAAAAAAAGCCCAUGUGGGAAAUUCGGAGAUUUUUACAUGUAUUUUGAACCCAGGUAGAAAUAAUGCUGUAGUUUUGCAAAAUGAAACACAUUUAAAUGUUUUAAUUUGUUGUCAGUGUUUCAGCUUUUAUGGGAGAUUUCAUUAUGUCAUAAUCGCAUAAAUUUCAAGCUGAUGAAAUGAAAAUUGAAUGUUUCCUCACUUUCCUGUGAAAUGAAUAAAAAUGAUGAAUUUUUGUAAAAUA
Columba livia (rock pigeon) is the source of this 2027-nucleotide long non-coding RNA. RefSeq lists it as uncharacterized. NCBI's taxonomy places the organism in Eukaryota, Metazoa, Chordata, Aves, Columbiformes, Columbidae. The record is from RefSeq and is a predicted model, not a curated record. The transcript has 2 exons.